RNAcentral lists this ribosomal RNA (733 nucleotides) under Enterococcaceae bacterium RF215. RNAcentral's name for it is "bacterial SSU rRNA". It matches the Rfam family "Bacterial small subunit ribosomal RNA", at positions 56 to 762 of the family's 1533-position model. Lineage: Bacteria; Bacillati; Bacillota; Bacilli; Lactobacillales; Enterococcaceae. The record is from RNAcentral.
UGCAGUCGACGCUUCUUUUCUACCGAGUGCUUGCACUCACUUGAAAAGAAGAGUGGCGGACGGGUGAGUAACACGUGGGUAACCUGCCCAUCAGAGGGGGAUAACACUUGGAAACAGGUGCUAAUACCGCAUAAUAGUCGACACCGCAUGGUGUUGAUUUGAAAGACGCUUUCGGGUGUCACUGAUGGAUGGACCCGCGGUGCAUUAGCUAGUUGGUGAGGUAACGGCUCACCAAGGCCAUGAUGCAUAGCCGACCUGAGAGGGUGAUCGGCCACACUGGGACUGAGACACGGCCCAGACUCCUACGGGAGGCAGCAGUAGGGAAUCUUCGGCAAUGGACGAAAGUCUGACCGAGCAACGCCGCGUGAGUGAAGAAGGUUUUCGGAUCGUAAAACUCUGUUGUUAGAGAAGAACAAGUGGGAGAGUAACUGCUCCCGCCUUGACGGUAUCUAACCAGAAAGCCACGGCUAACUACGUGCCAGCAGCCGCGGUAAUACGUAGGUGGCAAGCGUUGUCCGGAUUUAUUGGGCGUAAAGCGAGCGCAGGCGGUUUCUUAAGUCUGAUGUGAAAGCCCCCGGCUCAACCGGGGAGGGUCAUUGGAAACUGGGAGACUUGAGUGCAGAAGAGGAGAGUGGAAUUCCAUGUGUAGCGGUGAAAUGCGUAGAUAUAUGGAGGAACACCAGUGGCGAAGGCGACUCUCUGGUCUGUAACUGACGCUGAAGCUCGAAAGCGU